Molecule: ribosomal RNA, 429 nt
Filed under: uncultured bacterium
Lineage: Bacteria
Description: bacterial SSU rRNA
Rfam family: Bacterial small subunit ribosomal RNA
Source: RNAcentral
AUUAGAGUUUGAUCAUGGCUCAGAUUGAACGCUGGCGGCAGGCCUAACACAUGCAAGUCGAACGGUAGCACAGAGAGCUUGCUCUUGGGUGACGAGUGGCGGACGGGUGAGUAAUGUCUGGGAAACUGCCCGAUGGAGGGGGAUAACUACUGGAAACGGUAGCUAAUACCGCAUAACGUCUUCGGACCAAAGUGGGGGACCUUCGGGCCUCACACCAUCGGAUGUGCCCAGAUGGGAUUAGCUAGUAGGUGGGGUAAUGGCUCACCUAGGCGACGAUCCCUAGCUGGUCUGAGAGGAUGACCAGCCACACUGGAACUGAGACACGGUCCAGACUCCUACGGGAGGCAGCAGUGGGGAAUAUUGCACAAUGGGCGCAAGCCUNGAUGCAGCCAUAGCCGCGUGUAUGAAGAAGGCCUUCGGGUUGUAAAG